This 842-nucleotide long non-coding RNA is filed under the name Oryctolagus cuniculus (rabbit). RNAcentral describes it as "lncRNA (ENSOCUG00000031303.1)". The record is from RNAcentral. Lineage: Eukaryota; Metazoa; Chordata; Mammalia; Lagomorpha; Leporidae.
AUAUAUCUUCUUAUAUGUUUCUCAUUCUUAUUUAUUGGGCAUCUUUUGGACAUUUUGCUCAUUGAGAGAUGGCUGAAAUUAUAUCUAUCGUCAAAAGGCCAAGGCAGAUCUCUGUGUGGCAGUCUUUGAAGAUAUGGCUUCAGUUUGGCUAUUCCCUUUGGACUAUUUCACAAAUGGUGCUGGAGUCUUGCUCUGCUAUGUGUCAGAAGUUGGAGGAGAGGUUGGGGCAGUCCCUUAGCUGCCUGGGGAAACAAGGGCUUCUGAUCCAGCCAUGCUGGUAGCAAUGGACCUGCCCUCUUGCCGUUCCCUCUGUUGGUGUAGCCAUCCCUCCGGAAGUGUCAGUUGACUGAAGGAUGGCAUUGACUCCAUAGAAGGUGAUGGUAUCUAUUGGAGGUGACUCACUAUCAUGAAAUCUACUGUCAAAAAGUCUUUAAAUGUAUCCCCUUGAACUUGAAUACAGAAUUAAGAGAUGUAAUGCAGAGCUCUGAUCAAUUUUCCAGGGCUAAUAACUUCUUAUAAAGAUCUAUCUAUGUAGGAAAAGCACAAGGAUACUGGGGAAAUACCUGGUUGAAAACUACAUUAGUUUAACCCUUGAGGGAAUGUUAAAACUACUUUUAUUGAAAGCUGUUUUUAUAGUUAAUAUCUCCCUUUUCAAGCACAGCAAGAAUAAUGACCACAUCAACAAUGUUCAUAUUCAGCCAGUGCAGGCUGCCUGGCUGCUCCACCCUGGGAAUUCUCCUGCCUUGAUUCUCUAAGAACUUCUUUUUUUUUUUUUUUAACUUUUAUUUAAUGAAUAUAAAUUUCCAAAGUACGUCUCAUGGGUUACAAUGGCUCCCCCCCCC